AUUAUAAUAAAACUAGUGAAUCCACCCAACAGCGAGGCACCACCACCAUUCUACAUUCCUACCUCCUCCUCUCCACAGCACGCGGCCAUACAAGAAAGGAAUUGUGCUCCCCAAACACGUUUUCUCCCAAUCUCGCGCACGACCUUUAGUCUCCAUUGCACCGUUUUCACAAAUCAGCAUCUCUGUCGUGGCAAGCUUUAAAUCAUAUUUUUCAUCUUUUUCUUCUAUUUUUCGCUAUAAAACUCCCUUCCCCUAAUUCUUAACCUUCUUCCAUUGGCUAUGUUCUUAUGUAACUUUUUUGUUGUGGGUCUUUUCCUCUUUUGUUGGUCGUGAUUGUUUCAGGAGGUGAGAUGAUAAAUUUUUUGCUUCUUUGAAGGUGAGUGUGAACUUGGUUUGAUUCAUUCAAUUUUUGGUUUGUCUUUUGCUGCUAGUUAUAAGCUUAUUAGUUUCACAUGAUUGGAAUUUAACGAUUCUUUUGUUGUUGGUUAGGUUGCUUGUCUUUAGAAAUUAUUUGAGGUUUCUCUUGAAGUUUUAUUGCCAAUUUUGGAUUUGAUAUUAAUCUUUAGUUUCUAAGGUGAAUUGGUGAAAUUUGAAGUGACUUUAAUUUAUGUCCCGUUUGGAGUGGUCUUUAGUUUUAUGUCUAUGUUUUUUGAAAGUUUUAAUUUUGAGUUUUUAAUUUUUUUGUUUUAGUUUUAAUUUCAAUUAGGAGUUGAGUUGCAGUGGUCGAUGGUGAUGGUCGUGGUGGAUAGUUAAUGAUGGUGGCAAUGGUCAUAGGUAAGUGGUUAGCGACAGUGGUGGAUAAUAAGGGAUGGUUUCGGAGGUGGUGGCAGUAGUUUCACUUGAGUUUAAGUUUUUAUUUUUUUUCAGUUUUCAAUUUUCAGUUUUCAAUUUCAAUUAAAAAAAAUACUAUCACG
Molecule: long non-coding RNA, 914 nt
Filed under: Cicer arietinum (chickpea)
Lineage: Eukaryota; Viridiplantae; Streptophyta; Magnoliopsida; Fabales; Fabaceae
Description: long non-coding RNA (CARI_LNC000469)
Source: RNAcentral